GGUUCCGUAGCUCAGUUGGAUAGAGCAACAGCCUUCUAAGCUGUGGGUCCCGCGUUCGAAUCGCGGCGGAAUCA
Molecule: non-coding RNA, 74 nt
Organism: Bacteroidetes bacterium GWA2_31_9
Lineage: Bacteria; Pseudomonadati; Bacteroidota
Source: Rfam